Sparus aurata (gilthead seabream) is the source of this 1760-nucleotide long non-coding RNA. The record is from Ensembl. NCBI's taxonomy places the organism in Eukaryota, Metazoa, Chordata, Actinopteri, Spariformes, Sparidae.
AGCUACGAGGUAAUCCUUUGGUACAAGAAGUCAAAGAACAGACAGCUACAGUUACUGGGAUACAUGUAUAGAGAAGGUGUGUUUCCUGAGAAGACUGGAGUGGAAGAGACUGUGAAGAUAGAAGGGAAUGCAAACAAAGACAAGAACUGCACAUUAACAAUUGAAGGACUCACACUGAACAGCAGUGCAGUUUACUUCUGUGCUGCUAGAUUACACAGUGCUACAUAUCACUGAUCCUCUGUACAAAACCCUCCCAAUCACAUGACACCACCCACCUCAAGCCUUCAAGUUGGUUUGCUGAUAGGAGGGUCUACUCACAGAGGAGGUUGGAGAUAAUCAGUAUAACUACUGAUAGACUGACAAUACCUUUCAUAUCAAUACAGUUAUUACCAAACACAAAGCCAACAUGAUCCUCAUAUUCAUAAGUAUUCAUUUGAACAAUUUUCUGGUUUCAGGUUUGUCUCUCAGUGACCAAGUCCACCAGACUCCAGCUGAUAUGUUCAAACAACCAGGAGAAGAAGCCACAAUCAACUGUUUUCACACCAUUCCAAACUAUGAUCGAAUCCUCUGGUACAAGCAGACAAACAGACAACUACAGUUUCUGGGAUACAUGUAUGGUAGUCCAAAUCCAGAGGAUGGAGCAGGUGUGAAGAUAGAAGGCAGUGCAGAGAAAGAUGAAAACUGCACAUUAACAAUUGAAGGACUCACACUGAGCAGCAGUGCAGUUUACUUCUGUGCUGCUAGAUAUGCACAGUGCUACAUAUCACUGAUCCUCUGUACAAAAACCUCCUCACCACACAUAAUUACAGCUUUCAGCCUCUCACACCUGGAAUAAGCCAGUGUAACCAAUGUUGGUCUUCCCUCUCAUCCAAAUCAGAUAUGAUGAAAGAAUGUUUCUUAUGUGCAGCUAUGCAAAACUUUACCUGACACAUCCAACCUCAAACAGUAGCAAUAGAAAGUAUACACCUAAUCAUUGUUUCUCCUUUUAUUGCUUUUAUACAUGGAACCCUGGUCAAUAAACAACAAAAAAAAAACUUGAUUAAGUCAAUGUAAAAUAUGUUUUGCACUUAUGAGUAGAAACGUACAUCAUUCUGUUGUUCUGUUCUGUUGAAGCCGCAUUGAUCUGGGGGGACGCUGCGCCUGGUACGUGGUGGUUGUUUUUCCUAAAUUAUAUUCUGUUGUUGAUUCUUUCCCUCUGUGUUGUCGUUGUGUUUUUUUUUUUAGGUCUCACUCCAUUGGUGACCCCCCCCCUCUGUGUCCAGGUUGCUCACAGUACAUCGAGAUAAGGAAACAGGAGAAACUGCCACUGCUGUUUUUUCUUGUUUUCAGCCGGCCAUUUUCAUUAUUUCAUUGUAGUUAGUUAUAUCAGGUUGUUGUGUUUAGUUUCUGUUUGUUUUUGUGGUGGCAUUUUCUUGCUGUUCGUGACGGCCUGUGAUGAGGAGCGGUGUGCAUUAGUUUCAGUUUUAUGCAUAUGCUUUGUCUUUUUAUGUAGGUGCUGGCAGCCGGCGGUGAGCGCGGUCGCACCGACGGUGGAGGGAUUCGGUGAUCAGAGUUCCUCACCUGUGCUUCACACCCCCGAUCGCGUGUUUGAUUAUUUUUCUUGCACGUCAACGACUAUUCUGUUCCAUUAUAAUUGUUUCCCCCACUGUCUGCGACCGCGGCCACGGGUCAGCAUUAUCCUCCACUUUCUUUUUUAUCAGUGUUUGCGUACAGUGUCAUCGUCAUCUCAUCACAGCUGGUCUUGUGCUUUAAUACAUGUG